GAUGAACGCUGGCGGCGUGCCUAAUACAUGCAAGUCGAGCGAACAGACGAGGCGCUUGCUCCUCUGACGUUAGCGGCGGACGGGUGAGUAACACGUGGAUAACCUACCUAUCAUACUGGUAUCACUUCGGGAAUCCGGAUCUAAUACCGGAUAAUAUACUGAACCGUAUGGUUCAAUAGAGAAAUACGGUUUUUCUGUCUCUUCUCGCUGCAUCCCCGCCGCAUUAGCUAGUUGGUAAGUUAACGGCUUAUCACGGCAACGAUGCGUGGACGACCUGAGAGGGGGAUCGGCCACACUGGAACUGAAACACGGUCCAGACUACUACGGGAGGCAGCAGUAGGGAAUGUUACGCAAUGGGCGAGAGCAUGACGGAGCAACGCCGCGUGAGUGAUGAAGGUCUUCGGAGCGUAAAACUCUGUUAUGAGGGAAGAACAAAUGUGUAAGGAGAUAUGCACGUAUUGACGGUAACGAAUCAGAAAGCAACGGCUAACUACGUG
Molecule: ribosomal RNA, 497 nt
Filed under: uncultured bacterium
Lineage: Bacteria
Description: partial 16S ribosomal RNA
Rfam family: Bacterial small subunit ribosomal RNA
Source: RNAcentral